GACGAACGCUGGCGGCGUGCUUAACACAUGCAAGUCGAACGGUAAGGCCCUUUCGGGGGUACACGAGUGGCGAACGGGUGAGUAACACGUGGGUGAUCUGCCCUUCACUUUGGGAUAAGCCUGGGAAACUGGGUCUAAUACCGGAUAGGACUACGCGAUGCAUGUCGUGUGGUGGAAAGCUUUUGCGGUGUGGGAUGGGCCCGCGGCCUAUCAGCUUGUUGGUGGGGUGAUGGCCUACCAAGGCGACGACGGGUAGCCGGCCUGAGAGGGUGACCGGCCACACUGGGACUGAGAUACGGCCCAGACUCCUACGGGAGGCAGCAGUGGGGAAUAUUGCACAAUGGGCGCAAGCCUGAUGCAGCGACGCCGCGUGGGGGAUGACGGCCUUCGGGUUGUAAACCCCUUUCAGCACAGACGAAGCGUAAGUGACGGUAUGUGCAGAAGAAGCACCGGCCAACUACGUG
This 464-nucleotide ribosomal RNA is filed under the name uncultured bacterium. RNAcentral's name for it is "partial 16S ribosomal RNA". It matches the Rfam family "Bacterial small subunit ribosomal RNA", at positions 28 to 507 of the family's 1533-position model. The record is from RNAcentral.